GCUUCCUUGGCAGAGCGGAUAUGCACCGGCCUUUUAAGCCGAGAGAUGCGGGUUCAACCCCCGUGGGGAGCACUA
This 75-nucleotide transfer RNA is filed under the name Butyrivibrio fibrisolvens. RNAcentral's name for it is "tRNA_Lys_TTT". It matches the Rfam family "tRNA". Rfam says of the family: Transfer RNA (tRNA) molecules are approximately 80 nucleotides in length. Their secondary structure includes four short double-helical elements and three loops (D, anti-codon, and T loops). Further hydrogen bonds mediate the characteristic L-shaped molecular structure. tRNAs have two regions of fundamental functional importance: the anti-codon, which is responsible for specific mRNA codon recognition, and the 3' end, to which the tRNAs corresponding amino acid is attached (by aminoacyl-tRNA synthetases). tRNAs cope with the degeneracy of the genetic code in two manners: having more than one tRNA (with a specific anti-codon) for a particular amino acid; and 'wobble' base-pairing, i.e. permitting non-standard base-pairing at the 3rd anti-codon position. RNAcentral also lists the same sequence under 2 other names. The record is from RNAcentral. Lineage: Bacteria; Bacillati; Bacillota; Clostridia; Lachnospirales; Lachnospiraceae.